This 443-nucleotide ribosomal RNA is filed under the name uncultured bacterium. Its description in RNAcentral is "partial 16S ribosomal RNA". It matches the Rfam family "Bacterial small subunit ribosomal RNA", at positions 338 to 795 of the family's 1533-position model. The record is from RNAcentral.
CCUACGGGUGGCUGCAGUGGGGAAUAUUGGGCAAUGGGCGCAAGCCUGACCCAGCAACGCCGCGUGAAGGGAGAAGGCUUUCGGGUUGUAAACUUCUUUUGUCAGGGACGAAGCAAGUGACGGUACCUGACGAAUAAGCCACCGCUAACUACGUGCCAGCAGCCGCGGUAAUACGUAGGUGGCAAGCGUUAUCCGGAUUUACUGGGUGUAAAGGGCGUGUAGGCGGGGAGGUAAGUCAGAUGUGAAAACCACGGGCUCAACCGGUGCACUGCAUUUGAAACUGUUUUUCUUGAGUACUGGAGAGGUAAGCGGAAUUCCGGGUGUAGCGGUGAAAUGCGUAGAUAUACGGAGGAACACCAGUGGCGAAGGCGGAUUGCUGGACAGUAACUGACGCUGAGGCGCGAAAGCGUGGGGAGCAAACAGGAUUAGAUACCCGGGUAGUC